CUUCGGAUCCAACGCUCCUAGCUGGGAGAUGGGAAGCUGUGGGCUGCGCAGUGGGUCUUUAUGGUCUUGGAAAGGGGACACCCCACCUUGUGCUCAUCUUUGUAGAAUCUGGGCAAGUUUGGGGGUCCUCAUAAAGAUUUUGAAAUUUUUGAAGUCUAUUCUCUGCCUGUUUUUCUAAAAAAUUCUUCAGUAGGUGAAUAAUUUACUUAACAUUGUGUACUUGGGAGAAUAUGAUGAUGGGGACAGAGCAUGCUGCAUUGCAUGGCUUCUUAGGAAGAAAACACUAUGGGCUGCCCUGCAGAAAUGCAGGCAGAAGCUGUCAUCAGUGAAUGUUGGGAGGAUCCAUAAUGUUGGAUUGGAAUAGAACUAGAGUGAGACUGUUUCAUGAGGCCUUCUCCCAUCUAGAAUCUUUCUCAGGAGUAUUCUGGAUGCUUUGACCUGGAUCAGUUACUGC
RNAcentral lists this long non-coding RNA (454 nucleotides) under Homo sapiens (human). Its description in RNAcentral is "non-protein coding lnc-LY96-2:3". The record is from RNAcentral. Lineage: Eukaryota; Metazoa; Chordata; Mammalia; Primates; Hominidae.